UACGUAGGUCCCGAGCGUUAUCCGGAAUUAUUGGGCGUAAAGGGUGCGCAGGUGGUUAUGUAAGUCUGGUGUGAAAUUUUUGGGCUCAACCCAAAAAGGUCAUUGGAAACUGCAUAACUUGAGAGCAGGAGAGGUAAGUGGAAUUCCUAGUGUAGCGGUGAAAUGCGUAGAGAUUAGGAGGAACACCAGUGGCGAAGGCGGCUUACUGGACUGUAUCUGACACUGAGGCACGAAAGCGUGGGUAGCAAACAGGAUUAGAUACCCUGGUAGUCCACGCCGUAAACGAUGAGUGCUAAGUGUUGCGGGUCAAACCGCAGUGCUGAAGUUAACGCAAUAAGCACUCCGCCUGGGGAGUACGACCGCAAGGUUGAA
This 372-nucleotide ribosomal RNA is filed under the name uncultured bacterium. RNAcentral describes it as "bacterial SSU rRNA". It matches the Rfam family "Bacterial small subunit ribosomal RNA", at positions 524 to 898 of the family's 1533-position model. The record is from RNAcentral.